This 583-nucleotide long non-coding RNA is filed under the name Mus spretus (western wild mouse). RNAcentral's name for it is "lncRNA (ENSMSPG00010030896.1)". Lineage: Eukaryota; Metazoa; Chordata; Mammalia; Rodentia; Muridae. The record is from RNAcentral.
AGCCAAGAGGAACGCACUCCAGGAGGGAAGUAUGAUCUCUUAGGAGCAAAAGAUGGAGGUCCGUGGUAUGAACACAGUGAACUCCAGUAUAGCAACAGCCUUUACUGGCCUCAUGCAGUGCUCUCAGGAACAGUGUGUGCUGUCUGGCUGCCUCCUCUGGGGACCCACCAGGCACCAAUGAGAACAGCCUGGUUUGGAGAUCCUUCCAGAAAGUUCUGUUAGCCUUGUGAUGGGCAGCAAGGACAGCACUUUAGUUUUUUUAUGAAAUGAUAGGACACCGAGUGGAGGCAAGAAGAAGGAUCAAAGAUUUGGGGUAGGAAUUUCAGCUGCAAACAUUCCCGAUCCUGUUUGCAGGAACUGCAGCCUCCAGGAGAUUCAACCUGCUCUCCAAGCCAUCCCUGUCCCUGCCGGACUCCAACAGCAGCUGUGAUCUGGAGUUUGUCCAUUAGACCAGACCAAGUGGCCAGUGAACUGCAGGGACCCGCCCGUCUCUGCCACCUCAGUCUCUGCUGGGAUUGCAGGAGUAUGCACCAUGCCCAUCUUUUCAUGGGGGUUCUGGGAACAAGCUCCAUUUCUCGAGAUG